GAAUAUUGGACAAUGGGGGGAACCCUGAUCCAGCCAUGCCGCGUGUGUGAAGAAGGCCUUUUGGUUGUAAAGCACUUUAAGCGAGGAGGAGGCUACUAUAGUUAAUACCUAAAGAUAGUGGACGUUACUCGCAGAAUAAGCACCGGCUAACUCUGUGCCCGCAGCCGCGGUAAUACAGAGGGUGCAAGCGUUAAUCGGAUUUACUGGGGGUAAAGCGCGCGUAGGUGGACAAUUAAGUCAAAUGUGAAAUCCCCGAGCUUAACUUGGGAAUUGCAUUCGAUACUGGUUGGCUAGAGUAUGGGAGAGGAUGGUAGAAUUCCAGGUGUAGCGGUGAAAUGCGUAGAGAUCUGGAGGAAUACCGAUGGCGAAGGCACCCAUCUGGCCUAAUACUGUCACUGAGGUGCGAAACCAUGGGGAGCAAAC
This 423-nucleotide ribosomal RNA is filed under the name uncultured bacterium. RNAcentral's name for it is "bacterial SSU rRNA". It matches the Rfam family "Bacterial small subunit ribosomal RNA", at positions 359 to 773 of the family's 1533-position model. The record is from RNAcentral.